AAACCCGGAUCUAAUUGAUCACUAAUGGUGGAAACUCAACUCACACUUGAAUAAUAUCAAGUCUUGAGUUCAAUGGUGAAAGUACACUAUUAGAGUGAUUGAAGUACUUGAUAAUAGAUCCUACAUCCCAAGGGGUAAAAGUACUUGGACCAUAAGAUUAAAAGUGGUAGGAUGAGGUUUUCCUCUUAAUAGACAUAUAGCAUAUAUUUGCUUGAAUGCAUAAUUAUGGGUGCAUUUAUGAUAUAGUCUACCUAUAUGAGAAUGAAGUUAGGCCGCUUCAUAGAGUUCAAGGGUUUGACUCUUAAAUUCUCAUGAAAAGGAUACAUGACACAAGGCCCUAUUAAAUGUGUCAAAUUUAAUAAUUCUUUUGAUAACACCGAGAUUUCAUGUGUAAGUUAUGCACACUUGUUCAAAUGAAUAGU
RNAcentral lists this long non-coding RNA (422 nucleotides) under Trifolium pratense (red clover). RNAcentral's name for it is "long non-coding RNA (TPRA_LNC013154)". The record is from RNAcentral. Lineage: Eukaryota; Viridiplantae; Streptophyta; Magnoliopsida; Fabales; Fabaceae.